RNAcentral lists this ribosomal RNA (492 nucleotides) under uncultured bacterium. RNAcentral's name for it is "partial 16S ribosomal RNA". It matches the Rfam family "Bacterial small subunit ribosomal RNA", at positions 29 to 507 of the family's 1533-position model. The record is from RNAcentral.
AGUGAACGCUGGCGGUAGGCCUAACACAUGCAAGUCGAACGGCAGCACAGUAAGAGCUUGCUCUUACGGGUGGCGAGUGGCGGACGGGUGAGGAAUACAUCGGAAUCUACUUUUUCGUGGGGGCUAAUGUAGGGAAACUUACGCUAAUACCGCAUACGACCUACGGGUGAAAGCAGGGGAUCUUCGGACCUUGCGCGAGUGAAUGAGCCGAUGUCGGAUUAGCUAGUUGGCGGGGUAAAGGCCCACCAAGGCGACGAUCCGUAGCUGGUAUGAGAGGAUGAUCAGCCACACUGGAACUGAGACACGGUACCGACUCCUACGGGAGGCGGCAGUGGGGAAUAUUGGACAAUGGGCGCAAGCGUGAUCCAGCCAUACCGCGUGGGUGAAGAAGGACUUCGGGUUGGAAAGCCAUUUUGUUGGGAAAGAAAAGCAGCAGGUUAAUACCCCGCUGUUCUGACGGUACCCAAAGAAUAAGCACCGGCUAACUUCGUG